This is a long non-coding RNA of Rhincodon typus (whale shark), 435 nucleotides long. RefSeq lists it as uncharacterized. The record is from RefSeq and is a predicted model, not a curated record. Lineage: Eukaryota; Metazoa; Chordata; Chondrichthyes; Orectolobiformes; Rhincodontidae. The transcript is spliced from 3 exons.
AAAUGGAAUGUAUGUCUGACCUAAAACACCUAUGCUGUAUUGUUUCUUUAACACUGAUUUAUUUCGUCUCCUCUCUCACUGAGAAAUCUCCUUAUCUUGAGAAAUGUUAAUUUUAAUUUGCUGCAGAACUGGGAACAAGUCAAAUAGUCACUGAAAUCCAACAGAUGGAGCCCAUCCAGUUCAUUUCCAACUAUGAAGCAGAAUCCUUGUGAACACAGUGUGGAGCUGGAGAAACACAGCAGAUGUUAAAUCUGUUGUGAAAGAAUCGUUGGCACAUACAUUCAUAAUGUUACCAAAACCUCUUUAAUAAGUCUACCAGUUACUGCCUUACGUACUUCUGUGGGGUCACAGCAAUCAUCGCAUUUUAGGUUAAAUAAAAAGCAAAAUAACUGUGGAUGCUGGAAAUUAGAAAUAAAAACAGAAAUUGCUGGAAAA